This 855-nucleotide ribosomal RNA is filed under the name uncultured bacterium. RNAcentral describes it as "SSU rRNA". It matches the Rfam family "Bacterial small subunit ribosomal RNA", at positions 524 to 1381 of the family's 1533-position model. The record is from RNAcentral.
UACAUAGGGUGCAAGCGCUGUCCGGAAUUAUUGGGCGUAAAGAGCUCGUAUGUCGAUUGCCGGGUCGAUUGUGAAAAUCUGAGGCUCAACCUCAGACCUGCUUUCGAUACGGGCAAACUAGAGUGUGGUAGGGGAGACUGGAAUUCCUGGUGUAGCGGUGGAAUGCGCAGAUAUCAGGAGGAACACCAAUGGCGAAGGCAGGUCUCUGGGCCAUAACUGACACUGAGGAGCGAAAGCGCGGGGAGCGAACAGGAUUAGAUACCCUGGUAGUCCGCGCUGUAAACGAUGGGCACUAGCUGUGAGAGCCUUCCACGGUUCUCGCGACGCAGCAAACGCAUUAAGUGCCCCGCCUGGGGAGUACGGUCGCAAGAUUAAAACUCAAAGGAAUUGACGGGGCCCCGCACAAGCAGCGGAGCAUGCGGCUUAAUUCGACGCAACGCGGAGAACCUUACCAAGGCUUGACAUAUAGCGAAAAGUGGCAGAGAUGUCAUGUCCGCAAGGGCGCUAUACAGGUGGUGCAUGGUUGUCGUCAGCUCGUGUCGUGAGAUGUUGGGUUAAGUCCCGCAACGAGCGCAACCCUCGUUCUGUGUUACCAGCAUUCAGUUGGGGGCUCACAGGAGACUGCCGGGGUCAACUCGGAGGAAGGUGGGGAAGACGUCAAAUCCUCAUGCCCCUUAUGUCUUGGGCUGCACGCAUGCUACAAUGGCCGGUACAAAGUGCUGCGAAAUCGUAAGAUUUAGCGAAUCACAUAAAGCCGGUUUCAGUUCGGAUUGAGGUGUGCAACUCGACCUCAUGAAGUCGGAGUUGCUAGUAAUCGUAGAUCAGCAACGCUGCGGUGAAUACGUUCCCGGGGCU